GGCUCAGUGGUUCAGUGCUUAAACGUUAGGCUGGAAACCAAGUCGAGGUUCCUGGUUCGAUUCCUGGCUAGGGUA
Rhamnusium bicolor is the source of this 75-nucleotide non-coding RNA. The record is from the annotation of a GenBank genome assembly. Lineage: Eukaryota; Metazoa; Arthropoda; Insecta; Coleoptera; Cerambycidae.